UUUUAGGGGUGUUCCUCUAGUAAAGUACGGAGGGGCGUUAACCUGAAACAUGAAUGCGAGGACCGGGCGACCGGUUCGAAGUCUCCCAACUACGCUGCCAAGAAAACCCGCGUAUACUGUCCGUGAUCUGCCCGUACCGUAAACCGACACAGGUGGGUGGGGUGAAAAUCCUAAGGCGCGCGAGUGAGACUUGGUUAAGGAACUAGGCAAAAUUAUCCCGUAACUUCGGAAGAAGGGAUGCUGCUUGUUAACUCAAGCAGCCGCAGUGAAAGGGGCAUCGUGACUGUUUAACAAAAACACAGGACUCUGCUGAAAUCGCAAGAUGAUGUAUAGGGUCUGACUCCUGCCCGGUGCUGGAAGGUCAAGGGGAGUGGUUAGCCGCAAGGCGAAGCUACGAACUCAAGCCCCAGUAAACGGCGGCGGUAACUAUAACCGUCCUAAGGUAGCGAAAUUCCUUGUCGGGUAAGUUCCGACCUGCACGAAUGGAGUAACAAAGAUGCCGCUGUCUCAACCAAGUGCUCGGCGAAAUUGUGGUACGAGUGAAGACGCUCGUUACGCGUGGUUAGACGAAAAGACCCCGUGGAGCUUUACUGUAACUUGUCACUGUGUUAUGGAUUUAAUUGCGUAGAAUAGCUGGGAGCCUUUGAUGCAGGGGUUGUGGCCCUUGUUGAGGCGCAAUGUGAAAUACCAGCCUAUCGAAUCUGUGACACUAACCUACGGCCGUAAUCCGGCCUAGGGACCAUGACAGGCGGGCAGUUUGACUGGGGCGGUCGCCUCCUAAACGGUAACGGAGGCGUUCCAAGGUUCGCUCAGGGCGCAUAGUAAUCGCCCACAGAGUGCAUUGGCAGAAGCGAGCUUGACUGCAAGGCCUACAAGCCGGGCAGGGACGAAAGUCGGACAAAGUGAUCCGGUGGUACCUCGUGGGAGGGCCAUCGCUCAACGGAUAAAAGCUACCCCGGGGAUAACAGGCUGAUCUGGUCCAAGAGUUCACAUCGACGACCAGGUUUGGCACCUCGAUGUCGGCUCAUCGCAUCCUCCCGCUGGAGCAGGUGGGAAGGGUUGGGCUGUUCGCCCAUUAAAGCGGUACGUGAGCUGGGUUCAGUACGUCGUGAGACAGUACGGUCUCUAUCUACCAUGCGCGUUAGGAAACUUGAGAGGAGCUGUCCCUAGUACGAGAGGACCGGGAUGGACGAACCGCCUGUAUGCCAGUUAUUCCGCCAGGAGUAUCGCUGGGUAGCGGUGUUCGGAAGAGAUAAACGCUGAAAGCAUCUAAGCGUGAAACUCUCCUCAAGAUAAGGUUUCCCGGGUCGCAAGACCCCAUAAGGACACAGGAAGACUACCUGUUUGAUAGGCUGCGAGUGUAAGGGCCGCGAGGUCUUAAGCGAAGCAGUACUAAUCGUCCGAGAGUCUUGGCUGA
Molecule: ribosomal RNA, 1417 nt
Filed under: metagenome
Description: bacterial LSU rRNA
Rfam family: Bacterial large subunit ribosomal RNA
Source: RNAcentral